RNAcentral lists this ribosomal RNA (608 nucleotides) under uncultured bacterium. RNAcentral's name for it is "bacterial SSU rRNA". It matches the Rfam family "Bacterial small subunit ribosomal RNA", at positions 8 to 589 of the family's 1533-position model. The record is from RNAcentral.
AGAGUUUGAUCAUGGCUCAGAACGAACGCUGGCGGCGUGGAUAAGACAUGCAAGUCGAACGGGACUCUGGUUGUAGCAAUACAAACGGGGUUCAGUGGCGCAAGGGUGCGUAACACGUGGGCAACCUGCCGGGAAAUGGGGGAUAGCUCGCCGAAAGGCGAAUUAAUACCGCAUGUGAUCAUCUCUCGCAUGAGAGAGACAUUAAAGCUGGGGAUCGUAAGACCUGGCGUUUCCCGAUGGGCCCGCGGCCUAUCAGCUUGUUGGCGGGGUAACGGCCCACCAAGGCUCUGACGGGUAGCUGGUCUGAGAGGACGACCAGCCACACUGGAACUGAGACACGGUCCAGACACCUACGGGUGGCAGCAGUCGAGAAUCUUUCACAAUGGGGGAAACCCUGAUGGAGCGACGCCGCGUGGAGGAUGAAGGUCUUCGGAUUGUAAACUCCUGUCAUGAGAGAACAAAGUCUUACGGUUAAUACCUGUGAGAACUGAUAGUAUUUCAAGAGGAAGAGACGGCUAACUCUGUGCCAGCAGCCGCGGUAAUACAGAGGUCUCGAGCGUUGUUCGGAUUCAUUGGGCGUAAAGGGUGCGUAGGCGGCGAGGUAAGUC